CCUCUCCCUCCCUCUCUUUCACUCGCCGAAAUUCAUCUUCGAAACUCGACGAGUUCGUUUCAGUUCGCCGAAAAUGAAGGGAGUUGAAUUUUGAUUUCGAAACUCGACAAGUUCGUCUCUCUCUUUCAGUUUGCUUCAGUUCGCCGAAACUCGACGAGUUCGUUACAGAUCAGGGGAGCCGAGUUGUGAAGAUCUGGUUCUUCUCGAAGUCUUGCGUUUGAGGUGAAGAUCUGGAUUGCUAUGAAGAUUGCGUUUGAGUUUUGUAUUUUUAUUUUUAAUUUUAUCUCCCCUUCAUCUUCUGGUUAGGGUUAGAAUUUCUUUUUUCUAUUUUUGAUUUAGUUUCUUGAUUGUUCUCCAUCGUUUGUUAUUUUUUUGUAUAUUUUAGUUUUAGAUCUGAUGUUAGUGGUAAUGGUGAUAUUUUUUUCUUGUAUUUUUUUCAAUUAAAAUUAUAUAAAACCAUGUAACUUCUAGUA
Molecule: long non-coding RNA, 473 nt
Organism: Beta vulgaris subsp. vulgaris (sugar beet)
Lineage: Eukaryota; Viridiplantae; Streptophyta; Magnoliopsida; Caryophyllales; Amaranthaceae
Exons: 2
Source: RefSeq, a predicted model, not a curated record